Long non-coding RNA from Solanum pennellii, 1548 nucleotides. RefSeq lists it as uncharacterized. The record is from RefSeq and is a predicted model, not a curated record. NCBI's taxonomy places the organism in Eukaryota, Viridiplantae, Streptophyta, Magnoliopsida, Solanales, Solanaceae. The transcript is spliced from 5 exons.
UGAAGAUUAUCAUUGAUGGUCCCAAUCCGACAACUGAAGCGGCCCCACACUAAAUAAAUCAAAAUUUCAGAGUAGCACAAUCCGACAACAUAACAAUCCGUCCCUACAAAUUAUAUAAAUUAGGUUUGGUGUUGGGAGAGGAUCUUGCCUGUACAUCCAUCAGUUCCUCCUCAGCAUGAUGGUGACAUAUUACUUCCAUAUGCUAGGCGUUGGACGCGUGGAAUUGAUAGGGAUACUGAGUCAUAUCAUGUUCUUAUCCCAAUUAGAGACCAGUUAGACCGCAUGACGGAGGAUCAGUUUCGAUGGACACCGUACAAUGACAUUUUACAUACACUGCCUCAUUGUUGUAUGGUCGAUGAGCCUCUAUGGAUGACAUGUGUCCCUAUGUUUUGCCUAGAGAUUGUUGAAGUGCACUCGCCUGAUAGAGUAAUGUGUCGGUUUGGUCAUUCCCAGCAUGUACUUGUGAUUCCUAGUUGGGGAAUCAACCACCACGUGCAUGAUCAGCGUAGGAGGCUUGGACCAGAGGUUCUUGAAAUGAUGGAUAAAUAUUUUCGUGAUUGGGAUAAUCGACAUCAGAGUUUAGCGGUUGAGCUAAAUGAUGGUACUAGCGGGGAAGGGUAUAGAUUAUGUUACAUGCGGCAUGGAAGAUUGCUUAUAGGUAGGCCUGCAUUAGAGGUUGAUGUAUCGUCAGGCUUUGUUCAUUCUGCUGGUUCUAGUAUUGCAAUGUCCAGAGGACUAUUUAAAUUGUAUAGUCUUGCAUUAUAGUGGCAGAGAGACACAACCUCAGCUUCACAUGGUGAAGAGGUAUCUCAGAUUGUUAAAGAUACAUUGCUUGUGGCCGGAAUAUAAUUUAGAGAGCCAUUUUUUUAGGGAGAUCCUUUAUUUGAACAUGUGCGUGCAAGGGGACCCAGACAUGGACGGAUGGGGCAUAGAGGUAGAGCUCGAGGACGCUUUCUAGGAUGUGGCGCUGGUGGUAUGCCUAUUCCUCCAGACAUAGAGGCAGACGUGAGAGUAGAGGCUGAUGAUUUGCAUGUUCAUCAGUUUGGCACGUAAGACAUCACGAAUUUAUUACAUAUGUCAUUUGAUCCUUAUUCAAGACCGACUCGAGAUGUAGAAGGAAUCGGACGUAUGAGCUAUGAAUCAACAAUAGAUGUUGGAGAUUAUAUACCCGAUAUGGCGGGCACAUCAGGUACUGUCCAUUGUGACCCGAAGAUACUACUAUUUAUAACACUCAAGAUUUUAUCGAAGGAUUGCUUGAUGAUCCGAUUGAGUCGCAGCACCAUUCAUGAAAUAAUCUGGUUCAUGCUACGUAAUUUGUGAUGUAUACUCAUCAUAUGUAUCACCAAAGAUAUCUGAACCAUCCGUGAGAUGAUCAAGAUAAGGAAUUUCAUGAUUACGAAUUGGGCUCAUGGACAUUGAUCUUGGCGAUCGAUUGAGAGUAAAAAAAUCAUCAUCACUAGAUGAUGCCUCAAAUGGAACAUUAUCUCCUGAUUCCUCAGUAUUAGCAAAUCAUCACUAUCACUAGCUGAAGGUGAUCCAUAAUUAGGA